GACGAACGCUGGCGGCGUGCUUAACACAUGCAAGUCGAACGGUAAGGCCCUUCGGGGUACACGAGUGGCGAACGGGUGAGUAACACGUGGGUGAUCUGCCCUGCACCUCGGGAUAAGCCUGGGAAACUGGGUCUAAUACCGGAUAGGACCCUGGGAUGCAUGUCCUGGGGUGGAAAGCUUUUGCGGUGUGGGAUGGGCCCGCGGCCUAUCAGCUUGUUGGUGGGGUGAUGGCCUACCAAGGCGACGACGGGUAGCCGGCCUGAGAGGGUGACCGGCCACACUGGGACUGAGAUACGGCCCAGACUCCUACGGGAGGCAGCAGUGGGGAAUAUUGCACAAUGGGCGCAAGCCUGAUGCAGCGACGCCGCGUGAGGGAUGACGGCCCUCGGGUUGUAAACCUCUUUCAGCACCGACGAAGCGCAAGUGACGGUAGGUGCAGAAGAAGGACCGGCCAACUACGUGCCAGCAGCCGCCGUAA
This 478-nucleotide ribosomal RNA is filed under the name uncultured bacterium. Its description in RNAcentral is "partial 16S ribosomal RNA". It matches the Rfam family "Bacterial small subunit ribosomal RNA", at positions 28 to 523 of the family's 1533-position model. The record is from RNAcentral.